UUCAAGAUUGGCUUCGGAGUGAGCCACAACCCAUAAGUAUUGAGGAAGAUUUAGAUUUUCUUGAGCAACUUGAAGAAGAUUUUGCUAAACUUGGAAAAGAACUUUGCAUUGAUGACAUGUAAAAUUGGAGGAUAGAAGAUUUCAUCAUGCAUCGAUCACUUGUUUGGAAUCACUAUGAAUAACUUGAAGAAAAUGAAGAUAGAUCGUGGAAGGUAAAAUGUAUU
Molecule: long non-coding RNA, 224 nt
Organism: Solanum pennellii
Lineage: Eukaryota; Viridiplantae; Streptophyta; Magnoliopsida; Solanales; Solanaceae
Exons: 3
Source: RefSeq, a predicted model, not a curated record